AGAGUUUGAUUCUGGCUCAGGAUGAACGCUGGCGGCGUGCUUAAUACAUGCAAGUCGAACGAAGCACCUCUCCCGAAGAUAGACCCAGCUUGCUGGGGAUUGAUUCACCUGAGGUGACUGAGUGGCGGACGGGUGAGUAACGCGUGGGUAACCUGCCUUAUACAGGGGGAUAACAGUUGGAAACGACUGCUAAUACCGCAUAAGCGCACAGUACCGCAUGGUACAGUGUGAAAAACUCCGGUGGUAUAAGAUGGACCCGCGUCUGAUUAGCUAGUUGGUGAGGUAACGGCUUACCAAGGCAACGAUCAGUAGCCGACUUGAGAGAGUGAUCGGCCACAUUGGGACUGAGACACGGCCCAA
Molecule: ribosomal RNA, 360 nt
Filed under: uncultured bacterium
Lineage: Bacteria
Description: bacterial SSU rRNA
Rfam family: Bacterial small subunit ribosomal RNA
Source: RNAcentral